GCCUCCCGAGUAGCUGGGAUUACAGGCGCCCGCCAUCACGCCCGUCUAAUUUUUUUGUAUUUUUAGUAGAGACGGGGUUUCACCGUGUUAGCCAGGAUGGUCUCGAUCUCCUGACCUCGUGAUCCGCCCGCCUCGGCCUCCCAAAGUGCUGGGAUUACAAGCGUGAGCCACCGCGCCCGGCCACUAAGGGCUUUUACAAUUUCUUAUUUAAACCUCAUCAUGACCCUAGAAGGGCUGCCAGCAACCCCCAUCCACACCCACCAAGUGUCCUCCUCUCCUAUCAGCCUGAAGGCGGAAAGCACCGCUCAAGCCUCCCGAGCGCCCCCUCGUGCACAGUCCUGUUCUUGCUGAGAAUCGCUGGCACAGCGCAUCUCUCUGAAAUGCAGACGUCUCCUCUGCAGCUUCCAGAAUGAGAGCAAAAUCAUCACAACGAGAGUGCCUUCUCUUUCAUGCUCCUUCUGGAUCUCAGGAACAACUCUAGGGGAUGGGUAUUAUUGUCUCCAUUUGCCAGAUGAAGAAGCAGAAGACACUGGAAAUUACUGAUGCUGAAACAGUUGCACCCUGAGCACCUCAACAAUUGAAUUCUCAGUCUCUAAGAGAAGUAACAAAGAGUAAGGACAUCUAACCAUCUACACAACUGUCUCUGUUUCAUAUAGAAACACUUAGCUAACGCUGCAGAUUUUUCUCAUAAGACACUUGCCAUGCCAAUUAACUUGGGCUGGGGUAACGAAUCCCUGGAUAAUAUGAAUUUAUAAUCUAACGAUGUUUUGCUAGUAUCAUAAGAGUAAAGAUGAAAUGCCUCUGUGUCACUCUUCUGCUAACAACCACUCAGCCCAAAAUGCAAGCUGGAUAAGCAGGGACUCCCUUUAGGCACAUGGUCCCACAGAACACACACGGCUGGUAUUCAGCCGCAAGAAGGAAUUUAUUAUGGGAGUUCCUAAGAGCAAUGGCAUGAGAGGAAUCAAUGUGAAAAAUCUAUAUUUCUUCUACCAAAAAUUGACCAAUUUAUUCUCACCUCCCAAAUUAUGGUUUGACUUUAGCUUUGCGGAACUUGAGGCAAGGUGAAUUUACACUGUGAUUUCUUUCCUUCAUACAGAUGAACACCUGACUUACUGACAAAGUUUCUCAUAUAUAUAUAUGAGAAUAUAUAUAUAUUCUUUCUUUUCUCAAUGCUCAUUUUUUUCUUUUUUUUUUUUUUGGAAGAGGAAAAGACUAAGGCUGGCAAAAUUUUCUCUAAGCAUACAUCAGGCAGCUAAAGGGUUUAAAUGAAAGUGCAAUUGAUUGCUUUCCUCCAGCUGGGGAGGGGAUUGGGGUGGGGUGGCAUGAAGGACCCUGUACUUACCAGCCUCCUACUGUGUACCAAACCUUCUCACAGGUGCUCAUCAAAUUUAAUGGCCAAAGCAACCGUAUUGGUCAUUAUAAUUGCCAUCUUACAGAUGGGAAAAAUAAGAGAAGAUGACUUGCUCAAGUUCCCAAGCACGUGCUAGCCUCAGGAUUUGAACCUAGAUCUGUCUGAACUAGGAAACCGUAGUGAUUUUAUGAUACCCUUUGGUAACCACUUGUUUGUAUAACCUUGCCUUCCUCCACUGUUUCACACAGGACAUGGUGUUCACUGCCCCACUGGGCAUUUUUUUUUUUUUUGAGACAGGGUCUCAUUCUGUCACUCAGGCUGGAGUGCAGGAGCGUGAUCAUAGCUCACUGUACUCUCAAACUCCUGAGCUCAAGUGUUCUUCCCAUCUCAGCCUCCUAAGUAGGUGGGACUACAGGCACACACCACCAUGCCCAGCUAAUUUUUUUAAAUUUUUGUAGAGACGAGGUCUCACUAUGUUGCCCAGGCUGGUCUGGAACUCCUGGUGUCAAGUGACCCUCCUGCCUCACCUUCCCAAAGUACUGGGACUAUAGGCAUAAGCCACCACACCCAGCCUUAACAUAAAUCUUUGCGUGGCACAAAGAGCUGGACUUUCUGCCCUUAGAAUUUGUCUCAGUUCCCAAAUCUGAAACUCCAGGGGCGCAAUCGUAAAUGGAAACUCUACUUGCAGGGGCCUUUAGAGAGGAGCUCUUUCUCCUCUCAGCUCUGUCUCUCCCACAGAUAUAACUGUGAGCACAAUUUUAAUGGUCUUUCACUAUACACAAUGAAGAACUGUUGAAGGAAGUUCUAAAUUCCAUGAAGCUCUGCCAUGAUUUCACUAUAAUUCCGUAAACAUAUGCUGAAUAUGAAUAAACGAAUAAACAAGAAAACCAAUGACUGUAUUCUGUGCUUCCCAGCCUGAGAAUAGUUUCUCAAUGAGUGAGGACUAAGGGAAGUGCUGGAACAGGCCUACUGCAGGCCUGGGCUCUUCCCCUCUUCCCACCUGCUUUAAAGUAAAGCCCUCCAGGAACAGAGAGGAAAUUGCACCAAUAAACACAAUAUUAUUUUAAAUCCUUGAUUUCCUGCAUGACAUAGCAAAGCAUUUGCUCUCGUGCCCACUCAAGUCAGCAUGAAAUCCCAUCCCAAAAAAGUGGAGGGGGGCUAGAGGGAGAUUAAAAAGAGAGCAUUUAUCACAACUGCAAUUAGAAUCAGAAUCAAAUUGUUUUAAAGAAACAAUGUCAACGUUUUACAGACUAUUCUUCUAUGAAGUAGGGAGUCUGGGAGCACCCAGCUGCUGUUUUCAACUUCAUAAUCUCAUUCUAGCUAAAUUAUACCAUUCAAUCACAAAAGUAUUAAUAUGCAGCACAAACUUGUAUAUAUACAACAGUACUAAAUAGUCUGUUAAAGGGCAAGUACCUAAUGGCAAAUGAGUUUAUUCAAACCAUAUUUAAUUUGCCCUUUAUCAUCACAGAAGACUAUGAAACCAUUCUUUAUUUCUCUCUGUGUUUUAAUGGUUGUCAUCUAUCAGGCUCUUGGGCAUCUUGUGCAUUUUGAUAAAACGUUAAUCUAACAGAUGUUCAGGGACACUCCUCUGUGGGUGGA
This 2950-nucleotide long non-coding RNA is filed under the name Homo sapiens (human). RNAcentral's name for it is "HSALNT0061332". The record is from RNAcentral. Lineage: Eukaryota; Metazoa; Chordata; Mammalia; Primates; Hominidae.